UGUAGCUACUGCAGGCAGACACUGGUUUCCUCUGCAGGGCUGCACGGUAUGCAAAUCAGUAGCUCUGGGAGAUACAAAUCUCACAGGCUGAAUGGAUUUUCUGUGGGCCAAAGGGCAUUUACAAAUUAAUUGCAAAGCUGCCCUAUGACACUGUUGUGAAGUAGGUUAGCAACUCGCCCAAAGUCACAUUGUUUCUGAAUCCUGGGCUGGAGAAAAGAGUAUCUUCUCUGGAAUCCUUCCCAUCACUCCACACUUGGCGUCUGAUUUCUCCUAACCAGUGAGUCAUACAAAGGGACGUGCUCCCAGAAUGGUUUCAGCCCCAACUGGUAACAGUAGCUGUACUGAAAAGGAUGCAGUCUCUUACCCACCCCCUGACUCCCUCACUGAGCGGGGUGCGGCUGCUCUGAUUGCAUGGAAGUUUCCGUUUCCUCUGGCGUGUGGGUGCCCAGGAGACUGUCUUCAGUUAAAGUUCUGCCUCUUUUAUGAGGUUUCACGCCCAAGGCGUGAGCACAUUGUGUAGGAGAACUGCUGAGUGGCAAAGUGAGUGAUGAGAAUUGUCUCCCUCCCCUGCUAUACAUACCCAAGGCAUCUGUAUUACCUUCCUGUGGCUGCUCUAAGAAGCUAUCACAAACUUGGUGGCUUCAAAUAGGACCAAUUCGUUCUCUCACAAUUCUGUCGGUCCGAAGUCCAAAAUCAGUAUCACUGGGCUGAAAGCAAGAUGUCGGCAGGGCCCGCUCCCUCUGGAGGCUCUAAGGGAGCAUCUGUUCCUUGUCUCUUCCAGCUUCUGGUAACUCAGGGGUUCCUUGGCUUGUGGCUGCACCCUACAUCCCCUGCCUCUGUGGUCACGACAACUUCUCGCCUGUAUCAAAUCCCUUGCUGCCGUUCUUUACAAAGACAUUUAUGAUUGCAUUUAGGACCUGCCCGGAUAAUCCAAGAACAUCUUCCCAUCUUAAGAUUUUUAACUUAAUCACAUCUGCAAAGAUGCUUUUCCAGGAGGUGGAACAAUCAAAUACAAUCAGUUCAUAUUGAGACAACUUCAACUUGACACAAAGAAAUAUUCUAUGUUCUUUCCUCUGGUGGAUUUCCAGUUUCAGAAGUCCUAGACUGCUGGCCCUUACAACUUUACCUGGAUGGGAAUCAUAAAUCUCAAGUCAUUGAUCCUCAAACCAUAUUUCUUGAAUCUACAUAGCUCUUUCUCGCCUCUGAUCAGAACCCUUGCACGUUUGUGGCUGCUCUUACCUCUACCUGGAAGGCUCUUCUUUUGGCAGUCAACUGGAUGCAAUUACAAACUGCAGUUGUUAUAAAGCAAUGGAAAUGAGUAUAGAAAUAGAGCGGUAACAUGUAUGCAGAAACUGGAAGGAUGACAAGGAACGCGGCAUCUGAGAAGGAGGGGAAGGAGCAGGACAUCUCAGAGAAAAGGGAGCCUUGCCUUCCCUGGAAGUGAAAGGAAACCACUGUGGCUGGUGCAUGAAGGGUAAAAGUGAGAGCCACAGCCAGGUCAUGCUGGCUUGUGGGUAAGUGCAUGUUCCUGAAAAGGGUAAGGAUGUUAUUGGAGGAGAAGUGAGAAGCUAAGGACGUUGUUUGAAAGGAAAUGAAAGGGGUAUGCAUCAUUCGUUUCCACUUUAAAAUCUUACUUUGUUUAAGUGGAGAAUAGAUUGGGUUUGGGGAAGAGAAAAAAUGGGAGAAAUCCAGAUGACUGGUUAGUGGUGACCAGAAGUAGGUUGAUGGUUACAGAAAUAGAGGUGGGAAUAUUUAAGAGAUAUUUUGGACACAGAGACCCAGCACUUGAUGAUGGAUUGGAUGUUAACAGUGACUUAGGGGGAAAACUUAAAGAUGGCUUCUAGGUUUCUACAAAGUUGAAUAACAGUAGUCAAAGGAGAUCACUUUGCAGGCCAGGCUGCUGGCUACAGACAUGCUUAGAUGACUGAUCAGGAAUAACAUUGAUUUAAAGAAGGGCUUUGAUCAUAAAAACUGAAGUACAGACAGAGCACAGUGGCAGGCGGGACUCAGAGAAGAGAGAGGCACAGACAGGCAUAAGUCUAGACAGGUCAUGUUCACAGGCUAUUCUUAGUCUGGAGACCUGGUCCCACCACCAUGUUUCAAUACAACACUAGGCACCCAGCAAGGGUGGGAAGCAGCAUCAAGGGAGCGAAAGACGUUGCAGAAUCAAGCAUGGAUGAGAACAAUUACUGGUUGCAUGAUCUCGUGUGAAUUACUUGAAUUACUUAACCUUUUAGAGCCUCCAAUUCCUUAUUUAUAAAAUAGGAUGAAAAUAUUUACCUUGUAUAUUUGUUAUGGAGAUUAAUUUGAGCAAUGUUUACAAAAUACCUUGCAUAUAGUAGAUGCUUAAAAACGUAGUUCUCUUGGCCUCCCCACUGUGUAAAUUAAUUCAUAUCAUUGAGAGAGCUCUCACUCAUUCAGCUACGUGACUAAUCAAAUCCUGACACUAAAGGGCUUGGUUCUCGUCCAGCUUCCUUCAAGCUGUGGAGUGCGGAGUGGGGAGAUAGGAAAAAGAAAGGAGGGAACUAAAUAUUAUGGUAUAUUCUAAAUCAUAUAGUGGAGUCUAAAUCCCAUUUCAUUAUAUACCACAUUACAUGGUGUUAAAUUCUUUAAUUUUUAUAUCUUUGUAGCAACUUUGUGAGAACAGUAUUCUUUGGUUUCUUUUGUAAAUAAGGACUCUUGGGCAGAAUUUGGGAGAUCUGAGCGAGGUUACAGAGCUCCUGCCACAAGAGCCAGGAUUGGAACGUGCUGAGUCUGAAGCUUGCACAUUUCUCACUCUACAUUGUGCAGCCUCUGCAAAGAUCGGCCUUAACACAAGUCAAAUUCCCAAAGGAGGAGACUUGUCAUCUACACAAUAGCUUUUUUUUUUUUUUUUUUUCUUUUCCUGGGGUGGAUAAGAGGGCUCUAUUUGUGGGGAAUAGUUUGGGAGGAUUUACAUCCUCUUUGAAUUUGGAAGGGCUGAAUCAUUCAUUCAUGGAAUUUAGUCAUCCUUCUUUAUUUUAGACAGGAGAGACUUCUGGGCCCCUGAAAAGUUGUUUGACACCCUAAGAUCAUUCAGCUGGUGACAUUUUGGCAUUUUAGCUAUUUCAGUUCAAUAGUCCUUCAGUGUUUCUCUGAUGCCUCAGCCAUUUCCUCCUUUGGCUUUUUUUUUUUUUUUUUUAAAUUUAAUCCAUGAUUCAAUCCUACUAGCAGCAAUGGUGAUUUUUUUUCUCAGUAAUAUGACCAGUAAGAGACACACACACAUGCACGCAUAUCUCCCCUUGGAUAGCUAAUUGUCAUCUAGAUUUUGAUAUGAUCAAAAUAGAACUCUUAAUUUCCCUGCCUCAAAUCUGCCCACCUUCCCCUACGGUCUUCCCUUCUUAAUAAAUGGCAACUCUAGGACAUGAACCUCAGCUAUCUUCAACUUCUGCCUCUCUAUGGAAAUUGACACCCAGAAGUCUGUCAGUCCUGUCUUUGAACUGUUGCAAAGUGGAGGCACUGAAAUCUCUCAGAAACAUCUUUUGCCUGGGCUACUCUGAUAACCUCCUGAAUACUUCUCUCUCUCCUUCCUCCGGAUUUCUUUGUUCCCAUUCUUCUCAGAGGAGCCAGACCUGUCCACUCACAAGGGAAGAGACAAAGUCUGGAUGGUGGUUGCCCACACCCUGCUUGAUCCAAACUCUGAUGACAUCAUCGCUGACUUUUCUCUCACACCCUCUUUGCUCUAGCACACCAACCACUUUAAUACCUCCAACAUGCUAACAAACUGCCAUCUCAGGGCUUUUCUACUUGCUAAUCUUUCUGCAUAGAAUUCUCUUCUCCGAGAUAGACAAAUAGCUUCUUUCUACACCUUGACAUUUCUGCUAAAAUAAUCACCUUGUCACAAAGUCUUUCUUGACCACUCACUAUAAAAUGGCAACCCUAUCCCCGUACUUCAGCUCUCUUUCCUCCAUAGCACUGAUCACAGCUUAAUACUGUAUAAGUUUGCUUAUUGUUUUCCUCACGACACCCUCCAUCUUGCUUUGCAUGUAUGGUCCAUGAGGACAGAGUUUUUUCUCAGAUUUGCUUACCGUUGGAAUCAUGUUUGGCUUGAGCCAGGAAUUCAGUUCAUAUUGGUUGAAUGAAUAAAUUGAUUUUAAUAUUUAUGAUAGAAAUUGUCAUUCUUGUAGAUUGAAUCAAAGUUCUUAAGUAUAUUCAUUUUAACUAUUUUUUUUCUCUGAUUGCUCUUCCACCCCUGACCCCUGGCUUUAUUACAAUUAAUUGUGGCUUUGGUAAGAAAUACUCUCAAUUUUGGGGAAUAGCAAUUUCAACAGUAAAACAUUAGUAUUGAAUGGAUAAUAUGAACAAGUCAUUUCUGGAAAAAUAUUGUGAAAUAAAAUACAUCUCCUUAGAGCACAUUUCCUUGGUGUAGAAUAUUUCCUUAUUCCCAUGCAACACUAGAUUCUGCUGCAUGUAUUUGCUUUAGAAUUUCAUGUUUAUUAUAUUUGGGAAGCCAGAACUGAAUAAAAAUGAAAACCUUUUCUAAUGCUAUCAACAGAUAUGUUAUCAAGAAUUUUUAAUCUAUUUUUAGUAAGUUUAAUGUGUAGUAGACCGUUCUUUUUUUUUCUUCCUGAUUUAAUUCCCAUUGACCAUCAUUUAUGCUGCAAAGAUGAAGCUCUAUACUUCAGCUUGUCUUUCAGACAAACUAAGACUGUUGUAUUGAAUUCCGAAGCAUGUGCACUUGGAAUUGGAAGUCCACUGUCAGUGGAGAGAACCUGUGGUAGCCGUCUCUCACCUCCUCUUCUGUGAUGUGAUACAGCUAAUCCCAGCCAAACUACUUGAAAUGCUUGUUACUGCUGCAAUCUCAAUGAAUUUAGAGUGGUAAUCAAUUAACAGUAAAUAGGUUUCUUUGUCAAUUUGGAAGCAUCCCAAUGAAGGUAAAGAGAAAGUGGAAUAAGGUGAUAAAUAAUUUAUAGCUGGAGAGAAUCCUUAAUUCCUUCAGCCCACUCAUAGGUUCUAAAUUAUUUUUUAGGGGUAACAUGAGACCAAUAACCAGAAACCUGGGACACAAAUUAACUCUGUUUAAGAAAGAGAUUUUUAAACUGAGGGAUGUGCCGGUUUUGCUGCUUACCCCUGGAUUUUAUACAAAUGAUGCAAUUGCAAAAGGGCCACUUGUCUGUGACCCUCCUGAGGUCUCUUUUUGCCAUUUCUCUUGUUAUCUUGAUUUUCCUCUUGAUCUCUCCUCCAGGAUUAUUUUCAGACUUGCUUGCAUCUCAUUUUGUACCAGUAAAGUGCAUGUGUUAGUGCACACACGCACGAUUGCUGUUUUUAUCCUCCUCUGGUAACUCUUUUUCUAUGUCUCUCAGUGUCUCAUAUUGGCUAGGCUUUCCUUUUAUUUGUAUCUUGACAGCUUGGAGGUGGUUAUUAGGACAUUUAGAGCUCUGAGGCUUGGAUGCCCAGCAUGGAUGUAAUUCCCCAUUCGUUACCUGUCUUCCUUCCCCUGCUCUGCCUAGGUAUGGGUAAUAAAGGCCUGUCUUCCCAGGCUCAAUUCCUAGGCCGAAGGGGAAUGGGUAGUAAUGUUUCAGCAGCUCCUUCCUCCCCAGUGACAUCUGGGGAUAGUGAAUUCACAAUGCAGUUUUCCCAUCCUCAUGAUGCACUAAUAAAGUCAGGCUGCUGACAAGGAGGUCUGGCUUCCUGGUGUUCUCCUUAAUCUUCUGCCCCAGUGCCUAAGUCUAGAGGCUAGCCCUAACUGUUGACUAUGGCUCUGGGUCACCCUUUUAGAUCCUGGCAGCCCCUUAACAGGGUUUGCAUCCCACUUUUGGUUAUUUUUGUUUUACAUUGUCCUAUGUGGACUUCCCUUAUCUGGAGCUCUUAUAUACAUCAUAUUGAGAACUGCCCCCACCUUGAACUUCCUCACUCCACCUUUAGAGUUUGACCUCUAUACCAAGUUGAAAAAUGAGAACUCCCUGGUCCAACUGAACUUGGUGAUUUUGUAUUCUAGAAGAGGGACAGCUCUUUCAUUUUUUCUAGAUCUACUCAUUCUAUGCUAGUUUUAGUGAUCUGAGAGCUUUGGGGAUUUGGGAGUGGGAUUAGGUCUCCAUGCUAGUGCAUGUCCAAUAAAAAAAUCAGAAGUAGAAACAGAAGUAGAUUUAUGUGAAGGUAAAGAAUCUCAAGUUUCCAGGUCUUCGUUUGCAUGGGCCCCUUCCGAUGCCCUGGCAGGGGCUUCAGCAAUGUGUUCACAGAGACAUAUGAUUUUGUAAAUUUGCAAAAGUAAGAUAUUUUAACUGCAACCAAUGAUACCCAUUGUGUCAUUUCACUCCAUCUUCCAAUCUGUCUUAUUUCUACUCAUGUCGCAGUGGGCCAGGACGUAUUUUUGAUCUGGCUAAGUAGAAUGUGAGUGAGAUACAUUUAGUUGCAGUUUACUGGCACAGAUUUAUGUGCAUAGCAAUUACUUCUAUGAGUAAGCCAUGGCUAGUAGGCAGCCUUGAAGGUGCAAAGCUCAGAUAUCCCUUCAAGAGAACCUGUUGCCAUACUUCCUCCAGCCUCCGCACCUUCAGCAUCACACCAAAACCGUGCUUUCCCAGGGCUGCCCUAGCCAAUGAGUCUGCACGGUCUGAGUUCUAGAGCCGGCCCAUUUCUGCCCAUUGCAGAAUAAGCUGUCUUUGCCCUGGAGCCUCAACUUUCUCAGAGCUGACCUGCAGCCAGUUCUCCUCCAUUCUGUCUUUCUUUCUGCAGGUGUCAGGUCCUCCUCACAUUCGAAGGGUUCUAUCUUCUGUCCUUUCUCUUUUUUAUCUUCUGUGGGCAUUCUCCCUCAAGAAAUCUCUUUUACAUCGAAUUUCAACCUGGUGUCCACCUCAGAGGACACGAACUGACACCGUUAAAGAUUUCACAGGGCCUCCUUCAUGCUUCCAUUGGACAGCUGAACGGUUUCCUUUGUGGAUCACCCAAUUCUACUUCAUAGUCUACACAGAACUUGUUCUUCAGAAGAAAUCUCCAGCAGAAGCCCAAUGAAUGACAUUGAUCCAACUGCAUCAGAGACUGUCAACCUCUCUGGGACCCAUUUCUGUGCCCCUCAGGCAGAGUUGAGUGCAUUCCUCUAUCGUCCAACAGAAUAUAAUGCAUUUUAUUGCUGACCUUAUCUUAAUGGAUUAUUGUUACACUAUUUUAUGUAUCUUUUUUUUUUUCAUUAAAUCAUGAGCUUCUCAAGGGUAGGGGCAAUGUCUUACUAAUUUCAGAACAUAUCCCAAUAACUUGGCACAUAAUAAUUGCUCAGUAAGUGGUUGAUGAAUAAAUACGUUUAACCUCCAACUAUCCAACAAUUUAUUUUUACUGAGUGAUUAUAUUAUUAUGUUGUUUAGAAAAGUAUUUAAAUGAAUGUAUGGACAUUAAAGUUUUAUAUCCAAUAAAUAUGUUUGAACGUCUUAUCAUAAGGCAUUUUUGAAUCGGAAGGGGUGUAGAAAUCCCUUAGAUUUCUACAUUUUACAGAUGAGAAACUGAGGCUCAGAGCAACACAUCAAAAAUAGAACAAAGAUGCAUCUCUAGAUCUGAGGUGACAACAAAAGGCUAUGUUCCUUACACUUUUUAAAUCCCUUCCCUAAGAGGUAAUGCCUGGCACAAAUACUGGGGCUACGUACUGAAUAACAUUAUUAUGUCAUAAUGUUAUUGGUUGGAUUCCUUAGGAAGAAGAGUCUGAGAUGGAAUUUAGCUGGCAGGAUGUUUAUUAAGGAGCACCUUCUAGAAGAACACCUGUGAAAUGGAAGGGAAAAGAAGCAGGACUGGGCAGAGAAAGAGGUUGAGCUUCAAUACGGUCCUAAUGGUGGCCUCUGUUGAUCCCAAAAGAGCUCCAGAGCCAGAAUAGCCCUUCGUGUGGUCCUUAGCUGAGUUAGGAUGGCCAGCACUUCAUAUCCCUGUGUUGAAUGAGGGCUAGUCUAGAAAAGGUGUGACCUUGGAUGAGGCACUUCUCUGCAUUUGCAGUAAUUCCUCAUAGGCUGAUAGUCAAGGGCUGUCUACUGGUAGCACUCCUAGCAUCUGGGCAUCAAGCCGUUCCUUGAAGGGAGAAUCUAGGCAACAGAGCACAGUGUUUCCACAGUAAGCUUUCCUAAGGACAGAUUUUUAUAUGGAUACAGGUGAGGAUUCAGGUCUGAAUCAGGUAAACUCAGUUAACAGAGGAGCUGGGGUUGUCAGUUGGGUCUCAGUUCACAAUGCAGUUGUGUGUAUAGUGAUACAUAGUAGCAAAUUUAUGAGAGGCCUCUGAAAUUCUGAAAUUCUUGCUGUGAUCUUUUAGAGAUUUUCUUUGUCUGGGGCGCCUGGGUGGCUGGGUCCUUUGGGUGUCUGACUUCGGCUCAGGUCAUGAUCUCAGGGUCCAUGAGUUCAAGCCCCACGUCGGGCUCUGUGCUGACAGCUCAGAGCCUGGAGCCUGUUUCAGAUUCUGUGUCUCCCUCUCUCUCUGACCCUCCCCCAUUCAUGCUCUGUCUCUCUCUGUCUCAAAAAUAAAUAAACGUUAAAAAAAAAAU
Neofelis nebulosa (Clouded leopard) is the source of this 8468-nucleotide long non-coding RNA. RefSeq lists it as uncharacterized. The transcript has 6 exons. Lineage: Eukaryota; Metazoa; Chordata; Mammalia; Carnivora; Felidae. The record is from RefSeq and is a predicted model, not a curated record.